UUGGUGUUCCCCCGGAUAAGCUGGAGGAGGUGGCUGGGGAGAGGGAGGUCUGGGCUUCUCUGCUUAGGCUGCUGCCCCCGCGACCCGGCCGGAUAAAGCGGAUGAAGAUGGAUGGAUGGAUGGAGGUCCAAGGUCAACACAGCCAUAUACCAGGAAGUUGCUGCUGACCAACUUCAUGGAGAUGCAGAUUUCAUUUUCCAACAGGACUUGGCAUCUGCACACAGUGCCAAAGCACCUGAUUUAAGGACCAUGGUAUCCCUGUUCUUAAUUGGCCAGCAAACUCUCUUGGCCUUAACCCCACAGAAAAUCUAUGGGGUAUUGUGAAAAAGAAGGUGCGAUAUGCAAAAAAAAAGAAAAAAAAAAAGAAGAUGCGAUAUGCAAGACCCAACAAUGCAGAAGAGCUUAAGACCACUAUCAGAGCAACCUGGGCUCUCAUAACACCUGAGCAGUGCCACAGACUGAUCGGAUCCAUGCCACGCUGCAUUGCUGCAGUAAUUUAGGCAAAAGGAGCCCCAAUUAAACCAGCACCUGUACUCAUGGCUCACUGGAGGUGAUUGGAAAUAAACAGUGUAGAUGACCCUAACUUUGUCAGGAUUGAGGACGUCGAUGGAAUUCUCCCACCCAUUCAGUGUCGAAGACUGAUUUAGGAUUUCAGUGGCGGAGAGAAACAGAGAGAAAUCACGGGAGCUGGACUGCCACUUGGAUUACUGUUUUGGAAGGAGUCACUACGUAUGUUUUCACUUCACGGCCACGAGCACUACUAGGAGGAGAAGGAGGAGACCACACCUGGGCAGCC
Molecule: long non-coding RNA, 796 nt
Organism: Oreochromis aureus
Lineage: Eukaryota; Metazoa; Chordata; Actinopteri; Cichliformes; Cichlidae
Source: Ensembl